GUGCGACAAGCUGGUGCUGCACCUUUUGCCCACCCACGCGUGGAAGGGGAGCAGAUAAACGUGUCCGUGUUCCGCGCAGGGGAGGAGCGCAGUCUCCACAGGCGUUUGAAGUGACAAAGCGAGGAGGCGACACUUUUAUCUCAGCGACCACGAACAUCCGCAUGGCAUGGGGCGUCCCGCACGUCCCACGUGCGCGCACGCACACACACACACGCGCACAAUCAGCAUGCCAUGGUAGGGGGAACCACAAGGCUGCAGGGAUGAUGAUCUCGAACCCCUGGAUCCGCCAGAAGAGAUGAAGUGCUGGGUUUGACUGCGCUCCCGAUCCCUUCUCGUCCAUGUGUUCCGAAGCGAAGCUCGAGAUCGGGGGCUGUUUGUCAGGCAGCUCGUCGCUGUCAGAUCCUCAGACUCGUGGAUGACUCCUCCUCGUGUUGAUCAGCUCAUCGGUCACACACACACACACACACACACACACACACACACAGAGAGCGUGUGUUUUGCGCCUAUUUCAUGUAGACAUGCCCACGUCCACUCCUCUUCCAACCACCCCAUCACCGCAGCUCUCCACGGACCACCUCACUGUCAUUCUGGCUUCCAUCUCCUCCCUGGUUCUCUUUGUGAUGAUCCUGGUGCUGCUGUCUGUCCUCUAUCACAAGGACCCUCUUUGCUGGAAAGUCAGAUUUUAUCAAGAUUCACGGCCAUGUGCUGAAGCUCCACCCCAGUACUGCAGCAGUAGGCAGACAUUAGUGGCAUCCCACUGUCAGGAUCACAGCUCAGACAUGGCAUAUGACAACAUAGUGGCCCAGCAGCCAGGCCAGAUGUUCCUUAUUGGGCAGCCCAGAAGUUACCAUCUACCUCCUUUGGAAGCUCCCCUCCCUUACCUUCCCUCUUAUGAGAGUGUUCGCAAGAAGGACCGGCAGCGACAGGUCCACAUGAUGAUUGCGGACCGAUUCGGCCUCAACAGUCCGGUCCUGUCCGAGUCACCACCAACGUAUGAGGAGUCUGUUCAUCAGACCAUUGAGAUCCAUGGUUUCGAAGUAGCCGUCGCCACCCCGUUGCAUCUUGUUCAUUCAAACCCUGCCACGUACCCAGCUGAACUGACAAAUGUGGUCACACAACAGCCUGGUGACAACAGCAGAGAGGCUCAUCUACCUGUCUAGGUCUCUUUGUCAGAGAGGCUUUGGAUAAUCCUCUGAAGACUUGCUGAGUGGAAGAAUCACUUCAGAAACAUGAUUAAUACUAACUCUAAUGUACGGCGCUGGUCCUGCUGUCCGAGUUCUGGAAUUGCCUGGGCGAUUCUGCUGGGAUUAAUCCAGGAAGAUCAUGUUGGUGUGAAGCUGUGGCCAGUUUCCUCAUAAUCUCUUGGCAUUUAACAAACCUCUGGAUCAGCUGGAGGACCUCUGAGAAUUCUUUCUUGAGUAGAUGUUCUAGCUUUUUUCCCUGCUUUGUAACUGAGCCACUAAGUUAGUCCAGGCUUGCUGAGUUGCCUAAAACUGCUUAACUCAGCCACUCAAUGUCAUUGACUUAUAUUUAACUAUAUAUAGAUAAAAAGGGCUCCAGCAGUGCUAAAGGGCAUAAUGAGCGUACACGAUGGACAGCUACAGAGUUUUGAAAUGGAACAUGCCAGUUAAGAUCACACAUGGAAGCAUUAACCUGCGAAGCAUUUACCUUGUGUUAUUCAUUUCUCACUAAAUUACUCUUUAACUCAGGAUUCUUUCCAGUUCUUACUUUUCAGGUGUAAAUAAUUUACUGACUGUUGUACUUUGCAGUCUGCAGUAGUUUUAGUGUUGCCAACUUCUUUUCAGGGAUGCUGUUGCCAGCACAGGCAAAUCUUUCCCACUGAAAUAUGCCAGAUGCUGUUCCAGACUGUUCCAGUUUUGUCAAAAAGUACUAGAUAUAAUAAAUGAUCCCCUCUUCAAAUUACGUAAUAAUGA
This 1934-nucleotide long non-coding RNA is filed under the name Scleropages formosus (Asian bonytongue). RNAcentral's name for it is "lncRNA (ENSSFOG00015028749.1)". The record is from RNAcentral. Lineage: Eukaryota; Metazoa; Chordata; Actinopteri; Osteoglossiformes; Osteoglossidae.